Molecule: ribosomal RNA, 439 nt
Filed under: uncultured bacterium
Lineage: Bacteria
Description: bacterial SSU rRNA
Rfam family: Bacterial small subunit ribosomal RNA
Source: RNAcentral
GUACGGGAGGCAGCAGUGGGGAAUCUUGGACAAUGGGGGCAACCCUGAUCCAGCGACGCCGCGUGGGUGAUGAAGGCCUUCGGGUUGUAAAGCCCUUUCGCCGGGGACGAUGAUGACGGUACCCGGAGAAGAAGCACCGGCUAACUCCGUGCCAGCAGCCGCGGUAAGACGGAGGGUGCUAGCGUUGUUCGGAAUCACUGGGCGUAAAGGGCGCGUAGGCGGCCUUGCAAGUCGGUUGGUGAAAGCCCGGGGCUCAACCCCGGAGGUGCGGCCGAGACUGCAGGGCUGGAGGCCGGAAGAGGAGGGUGGAAUACCCAGUGUAGAGGUGAAAUUCGUAGAUAUUGGGUGGAACACCGGUGGCGAAAGCGGCUCUCUGGUCCGGACCUGACGCUGAGGCGCGAAAGCGUGGGGAGCAAACAGGAUUAGAUACCCCGGUAGC